UCGAUUAGUUUGAUCAUGGCUCAGAAUCAACGCUGGCGGCGUGCCUCAGACAUGCAAGUCGAACGCGAAAGUCUCCUUCGGGGGGCAAGUAGAGUGGCGCACGGGUGAGUAACACGUAGGUAAUCUACCUUCGGAUGGGGAAUAACAAUCGGAAACGGUUGCUAAUACCGCAUAAUGCAGCGGCACCUAAUGGUGACAGUUGUUAAAGCGGGGGAUCGAAAGACCUCGCGUCUGAAGAGGAGCCUGCGGCGGAUUAGCUAGUUGGUAGGGUAAUGGCCUACCAAGGCAACGAUCCGUAGCCGGCCUGAGAGGGCGGUCGGCCACACUGACACUGACAUACGGGUCAGACUCCUACGGGAGGCAGCAGUCGGGAAUUUUGGGCAAUGGGCGAAAGCCUGACCCAGCAACGCCGCGUGAAGGAUGAAAUCCCUCGGGAUGUAAACUUCGCAAGAACGGGAAGAAUAAGUAGGGGACAAUACCCCCUAUGAUGACGGUACCGUUUGUAAGCUCCGGCUAACUCCGUGCCAGCAGCCGCGGUAAUACGGGGGGAGCAAGCGUUGUUCGGAUUUACUGGGCGUAAAGGGCGCGUAGGCGGCCAGUGCAAGUCAGUUGUGAAAUCUCCGAGCUUAACUCGGAAAGGUCAACUGAUACUGCUCGGCUAGAGUGCGGAAGGGGCAACUGGAAUUCUUGGUGUAGCGGUGAAAUGC
This 707-nucleotide ribosomal RNA is filed under the name uncultured bacterium. RNAcentral describes it as "bacterial SSU rRNA". It matches the Rfam family "Bacterial small subunit ribosomal RNA", at positions 1 to 689 of the family's 1533-position model. The record is from RNAcentral.